CUGAGCAGAUGGUCAGGCAGUGAGGUGGCCUUUGCACCAAAGAGAUGAUCCAGGAGCAAGAAACAGAGGUGCAGCAUCUCCUUCCAGGACUGUGCUGCUUAAACCAGCAAGGAAAGCAACAGCAGCUGAAGAGCCAAAUGAAGACCACGAAUACACACCUACUCUCAACAAGAGCUUCACAGAAGUUUUCAGGACCAUGUGUAAGUACCUCCCCUCUUUUAUUAUUUUUAAAUGUUUGGAAAUGUAUAUUAUCCAAAGAUUUGCACCAAAGCUUAACUAUGUUCACAAUUAAGGCAUUUGCCAGUGAUACAAUGACAGAAGUGGGGAGGAAGAGUUCCUGACCCCACUUUCAAUUUGCCCUAUUAUUUAUUUUAUGGCUCACAAUGUACAUCAAUAUACACACUGUUUAUUGAAUUACUUGUAGUAAUGGAACUAUAGUUUCAUUCUUCAGUUGCUAUAGUUACAUUUCUAUCCAACUUUGCAUUCAAAAUCUAGAAAGAAAUCCUAGGAAGGGUACUUUAUUUUUUUUUCAAAGAAGUCUGACUAGUCUUAAUCAAAACUUUAAAAGAACAUUUCGCUUAAGCUGAUAUGGGCAAGCAACUUUUAUAAAAAUAUACUGUAUAGAAACACAGGUGGAAAAUUGCAUAGAAAAUAUCCUUUGAUUUAAAUUAAGGCACGAUUUUACUAGCUAUGGUUUGGCUAUAAAAAUGUGACUCUAUUUUGAUUACUUUUAUGUUAUUAACAGUAUUUUCCAUAAAAAUAUAGGUGCAGGAAUAAAAAACCCUUUUACACAGAGUGGGAAACACUCCAUUGUAAAAUUUCACCAAAUUUACUGAAAUUCAGCUGUCAAAAAUUCAAAUGCUAUU
Molecule: long non-coding RNA, 866 nt
Filed under: Ficedula albicollis (Collared flycatcher)
Lineage: Eukaryota; Metazoa; Chordata; Aves; Passeriformes; Muscicapidae
Description: lncRNA (ENSFALG00000026383.1)
Source: RNAcentral